RNAcentral lists this long non-coding RNA (283 nucleotides) under Solanum tuberosum (potato). RNAcentral's name for it is "long non-coding RNA (STUB_LNC007895)". Lineage: Eukaryota; Viridiplantae; Streptophyta; Magnoliopsida; Solanales; Solanaceae. The record is from RNAcentral.
UAGGAGGAUCCUCAUAUCCCAAAAGUUAAAACAUGCGGAAAAUUAAUGAAAAACGGAGAUAAAUGAAAUCAUAGUGUUUUUAUAAAUGAAAACCUUCUUUAACAAAUUCGGGUUAAGACUUGUAAAGUAAUUAACACCCCCAAGGAUCUAGUCUAAGAGGUACAAGAGCUACUAUGAGUACAACAGGACAUAAUAAUGAAAAGACACAGCUCCCACCAUGCAGAAGGAAAAGUAGAAGCUGUUGGAGAAUUCUUUGUCUUCAUCUAAUGAAACAUCACCAACC